UUUGGGUUUUACUUAUUGGGGUUUUAAAUUUGAUUAUGGUUUAGUGUAAAGUUAUGAUGAUGUUAUCUAGUUUUGAUUCAUAGAGUGGGCAAUGUAAUUUUACCCCGGCAGUGAGUCGUUUGUAUAAAUUUUGUUCCAGAAUAAUCGGCUAGACUUUAUAAACUUGUACUCGAAUUGAGGUUAAACCUGGACAAGUAGUGGUUGCUUUUGACUUUAGGGUAAAAUUAGAAGUUAUUAGUGUUUGUGUCUUGUGUUUUUAGAUUUGUUGAACAAGCCAGAUUAGUACCUGGUUAGACAAAAGUUAAAAGAGCAGGAGUAAAGUUAUGUUUAAACUGUAAGAAUAUUGGCAGGUCUUUAAAUUAUCUUUGGAGGCUGAGUAGUAAUUGAGAGCCCUCAUUAUCGGCCCGCACUGUAGGCGCAUGUAUGAUCGUUUAUCUUAUCCUUAGGGGUUGUGAUGUUAGUUUAUUUACUGUAAAAGUAGAUAUAUACUUGGUUGAUGUGCGGGAUUUAAUUUGGCCUACAAUAUUUUAUAAUGUGGAUUUUAAUUGUAGUGGUUAUUUGAAACUGUAAAAGACAGUAAAUUUCUUUUUAUGGGAAAUUGAAGUUUAUUUAAAGACGGUACAAAUCAUCCAUCAAUUGCCUAAAGGGGAGUAAGUUGUAGUAAAGUAGAGGUAGGGGAACCUGUCUCUAAUAAUU
This 696-nucleotide non-coding RNA is filed under the name Toxocara malaysiensis. The record is from RNAcentral. Lineage: Eukaryota; Metazoa; Nematoda; Chromadorea; Rhabditida; Toxocaridae.